AAAUUGAAGAGUUUGAUCAUGGCUCAGAUUGAACGCUGGCGGCAGGCCUAACACAUGCAAGUCGAACGGUAGCACAGAGAGCUUGCUCUCGGGUGACGAGUGGCGGACGGGUGAGUAAUGUCUGGGAAACUGCCUGAUGGAGGGGGAUAACUACUGGAAACGGUGGCUAAUACCGCAUAACGUCGCAAGACCAAAGAGGGGGACCUUCGGGCCUCUUGCCAUCAGAUGUGCCCAGAUGGGAUUAGCUUGUUGGUGAGGUAACGGCUCACCAAGGCGACGAUCCCUAGCUGGUCUGAGAGGAUGACCAGCCACACUGGAACUGAGACACGGUCCAGACUCCUACGGGAGGCAGCAGUGGGGAAUAUUGCACAAUGGGCGCAAGCCUGAUGCAGCCAUGCCGCGUGUAUGAAGAAGGCCUUCGGGUUGUAAAGUACUUUCAGCGGGGAGGAAGGUGUUGUGGUUAAUAACCGCAGCAAUUGACGUUACCCGCAGAAGAAGCACCGGCUAACUCCGUGCCAGCAGCCGCGGUAAUACGGAGGGUGCAAGCGUUAAUCGGAAUUACUGGGCGUAAAGCGCACGCAGGCGGUCUGUCAAGUCGGAUGUGAAAUCCCCGGGCUCAACCUGGGAACUGCAUUCGAAACUGGCAGGCUUGAGUCUUGUAGAGGGGGGUAGAAUUCCAGGUGUAGCGGUGAAAUGCGUAGAGAUCUGGAGGAAUACCGGUGGCGAAGGCGGCCCCCUGGACAAAGACUGACGCUCAGGUGCGAAAGCGUGGGGAGCAAACAGGAUUAGAUACCCUGGUAGUCCACGCCGUAAACGAUGUCUACUUGGAGGUUGUGCCCUUGAGGCGUGGCUUCCGGAGCUAACGCGUUAAGUAGACCGCCUGGGGAGUACGGCCGCAAGGUUAAAACUCAAAUGAAUUGACGGGGGCCCGCACAAGCGGUGGAGCAUGUGGUUUAAUUCGAUGCAACGCGAAGAACCUUACCUGGUCUUGACAUCCACAGAACUUUCCAGAGAUGGAUUGGUGCCUUCGGGAACUGUGAGACAGGUGCUGCAUGGCUGUCGUCAGCUCGUGUUGUGAAAUGUUGGGUUAAGUCCCGCAACGAGCGCAACCCUUAUCCUUUGUUGCCAGCGGUUAGGCCGGGAACUCAAAGGAGACUGCCAGUGAUAAACUGGAGGAAGGUGGGGAUGACGUCAAGUCAUCAUGGCCCUUACGACCAGGGCUACACACGUGCUACAAUGGCGCAUACAAAGAGAAGCGACCUCGCGAGAGCAAGCGGACCUCAUAAAGUGCGUCGUAGUCCGGAUUGGAGUCUGCAACUCGACUCCAUGAAGUCGGAAUCGCUAGUAAUCGUGGAUCAGAAUGCCACGGUGAAUACGUUCCCGGGCCUUGUACACACCGCCCGUCACACCAUGGGAGUGGGUUGCAAAAGAAGUAGGUAGCUUAACCUUCGGGAGGGCGCUUACCACUUUGUGAUUCAUGACUGGGGUGAAGUCGUAACAAGGUAACCGUAGGGGAACCUGCGGUUGGAUCACCUCCUUA
This 1540-nucleotide ribosomal RNA is filed under the name Salmonella enterica subsp. enterica. RNAcentral's name for it is "bacterial SSU rRNA". It matches the Rfam family "Bacterial small subunit ribosomal RNA". Lineage: Bacteria; Pseudomonadati; Pseudomonadota; Gammaproteobacteria; Enterobacterales; Enterobacteriaceae. The record is from RNAcentral.